UGAGGUAAGUACAAUGACUUCUUCCCUACUUCCUAUUCGAUAUGUGUUCCUUUCAAAGCUGCAGGCUUGGUCAGAAAGAUGACCUUCCCCAAGAGUGAAAGUCCGUUUUUGGUCAAGAGUUUGUGUGUAGUUGUGCUCCUCUGUUAGAGGACCCAAUAGAUUGUCGAGGUUUAGCUGUCUGACAGUUACAGAGGGAUAGAAGAUUCAGUCUGUCCUAAGCUGAACUCACAAUCUU
RNAcentral lists this small nuclear RNA (235 nucleotides) under Rattus norvegicus (Norway rat). Its description in RNAcentral is "7SK RNA". It matches the Rfam family "7SK RNA". From Rfam's summary of the family: 7SK was discovered as an abundant small nuclear RNA in the mid-70s but a possible function has only recently been suggested. Two independent studies have found that 7SK RNA binds the CDK9/cyclin T complex (known as elongation factor P-TEFb). The record is from Rfam by way of RNAcentral. Lineage: Eukaryota; Metazoa; Chordata; Mammalia; Rodentia; Muridae.